AAAGCUUACAGCACCUGGUAUUCCCAGGCGGUCUCCCAUCCAAGUACUAAGCAGGCCCGACCCUGCUUAGCUUCCGAGAUCAGACGAGAUCGGGCGUUCUCAGGGUGGUAUGGCCGUAAGCGCUUAGAGGACCUGCAAAAU
RNAcentral lists this ribosomal RNA (141 nucleotides) under Tetraodon nigroviridis (spotted green pufferfish). Lineage: Eukaryota; Metazoa; Chordata; Actinopteri; Tetraodontiformes; Tetraodontidae. The record is from RNAcentral.